RNAcentral lists this transfer RNA (77 nucleotides) under Cohnella rhizosphaerae. Its description in RNAcentral is "tRNA-Thr". It matches the Rfam family "tRNA". From Rfam's summary of the family: Transfer RNA (tRNA) molecules are approximately 80 nucleotides in length. Their secondary structure includes four short double-helical elements and three loops (D, anti-codon, and T loops). The record is from RNAcentral. Lineage: Bacteria; Bacillati; Bacillota; Bacilli; Caryophanales; Paenibacillaceae.
GCCGUUGUAGCUCAAUUGGUAGAGCAACUGACUUGUAAUCAGUAGGUUGGGGGGUUCAAGUCCUCUCGACGGCACCA